GCCGGUCUGGCCUAGUGGUUUGAGCAUUGGACUAUGACUCUGGAGACCAGGGUUCAAAUCCUCACUCAGCCA
Molecule: transfer RNA, 72 nt
Filed under: Phrynosoma platyrhinos (Desert horned lizard)
Lineage: Eukaryota; Metazoa; Chordata; Lepidosauria; Squamata; Phrynosomatidae
Description: tRNA-OTHER
Source: RNAcentral